Molecule: long non-coding RNA, 529 nt
Organism: Brassica napus (rape)
Lineage: Eukaryota; Viridiplantae; Streptophyta; Magnoliopsida; Brassicales; Brassicaceae
Exons: 2
Source: RefSeq, a predicted model, not a curated record
GUUUGUUGUCUGAUUAUAGUGUUUUUGAGUUUGGAUUGUUGUCUGACUAUAGUGUAGUGUUGUCUGAGUUGGUGUUUUUAUAGAGAAGCUAGCGCCUUUCGUAACGGCUAUAUUUCUCUUAAAGGUUUGAGUCUGGUCUCGAUCGCUACAAAACACGUGCGUUUCUCCUAACGGUAAUAAUGUUGGAAUCGAACCGGUCUUGCAACCACCUAAACCGGUCUUGCAACUUCUUCUCGAAGAUGAGCUAUACUAACUGAUGAAGAAGAAAGACGAUAUGCCUGUUUAGUCUUAAAGACAGAUCUUUGCUUUUGCAUGAGGCUCCUUCGUUGGUGAUUAUACUGGUGGGUUGAGAAUGAAAUGCCUAACAUUGACUUUUGGUAUAGUCAUUCUGGGUUCUAUAAAAUUGUCUUUAUGUAUAUUUACUCUGUUUUGUUCUCCUCACUGAUCUUCGGCAUUUCCAUGUCAUUACAAGUAUUAUUUGAGUCAUUAUAGGUAAUUACCCGCGCUAUGCUGCGGGAUUUUUCUUUAA